ACCAUAUGCUGGAAUUAUAUUUUUCCUGAUCCCAAAAAAACACAUUGCAAAAUCAAUUCAAAAUGUUAUCUGAAAAAAUAAAGACAUUGUCGUGAAUGCAGGAUAUUCGAAAAUUGCAGUACUAUUCCCAAAACGGGUGUACUACGACAUAAUUAUUAAUAAAGUCAAUUAAAACUUAAAAUUUUAAAAUAUAAAAACGAAGCGUCGAUCAUUGUGCACCCAUUUUGCAAGAAUUCUUAUUAUGGCCCCCCAUCCUCUUACACUUGCCACACCUGAUGCUGCGGGGUACCAAUUCACCUCAAUGCAAUUUUGAAAUCGCUACUGAUCUGCCGGAAUUGAUAACAUAUGUAUACACCUUUAAAGACAUAACAAUCGAUAGCAGUCGAUAAGUAGCGAUAAAAACCAUAUGUAUACACCUUAAAAGUUUAUUUACAUAAUCGAUCACAUAAAAACCACUCUGCAAUUUUGAAAAUCGCUACUGAUCAGCAAGAAUGGGUAACAUGUGUAUACACCUUAAAAGACAUAACAAUCGAUAACAAUCGAUUAAAAACAUAUGUAUACACCUUUGAAGAUUAUUUACAGAAUCGAACAACCCAGAAAAAAUUUAAUAACAUGUGUAUACACCUUAAAAGACAUAACAAUCGAUAACAAUUGAUUAAAAACAUAUGUAUACACCUUAAAAGAUUAUUUACAGAAUCGAACAACCCAGAAAAAAUUUAAACUUACAUAAAUUGCGAAAAGCCACGAAAACAGAUCUGUAUAAUUUGUUCCUUCUUUUCCGAUUUAUGCGAUCAGAUCACAAAUUCUUGGGGUUAAAAAAUAACCAGCACGUUGAAGCGGUGCUCUAUA
RNAcentral lists this long non-coding RNA (849 nucleotides) under Erythranthe guttata (spotted monkey flower). Its description in RNAcentral is "long non-coding RNA (EGUT_LNC000578)". The record is from RNAcentral. Lineage: Eukaryota; Viridiplantae; Streptophyta; Magnoliopsida; Lamiales; Phrymaceae.